UCACUUUUCUGAUUUUAGAAACACAAGAAAUAAGAAGACCAUUUUGAGAAGAACAGAGAGUAGCCUUAAGAAAAUCCCUGUCGCAAGCACUCUGGGAUUUGGACUCAAAUGCUAAUUAUACAGUCUAUAAUGAUGACUGGAAUAGGAAAUUCGGACAGCAAAAGUGGUCGCUUCUUAGGCUUCCUGCCAGAUUUUGAAAACCACUAUAACUAGUCGUUUCUGCCAA
RNAcentral lists this long non-coding RNA (226 nucleotides) under Homo sapiens (human). RNAcentral's name for it is "non-protein coding lnc-KLHL32-4:24". The record is from RNAcentral. Lineage: Eukaryota; Metazoa; Chordata; Mammalia; Primates; Hominidae.